This 539-nucleotide ribosomal RNA is filed under the name uncultured bacterium. RNAcentral describes it as "bacterial SSU rRNA". It matches the Rfam family "Bacterial small subunit ribosomal RNA", at positions 356 to 896 of the family's 1533-position model. The record is from RNAcentral.
GAGGAAUAUUGGUCAAUGGACGGAAGUCUGAACCAGCCAAGUAGCGUGCAGGAUGACGGCCCUAUGGGUUGUAAACUGCUUUUGUAUGGGGAUAAAGUCAAUCACGUGUGAUUGCUUGCAGGUACCAUACGAAUAAGGACCGGCUAAUUCCGUGCCAGCAGCCGCGGUAAUACGGAAGGUCCGGGCGUUAUCCGGAUUUAUUGGGUUUAAAGGGAGCGUAGGCCGGAGAUUAAGUGUGUUGUGAAAUGUAGACGCUCAACGUCUGACUUGCAGCGCAUACUGGUUUUCUUGAGUACGCACAACGUUGGCGGAAUUCGUCGUGUAGCGGUGAAAUGCUUAGAUAUGACGAAGAACUCCGAUUGCGAAGGCAGCUGACGGGAGCGCAACUGACGCUUAAGCUCGAAGGUGCGGGUAUCGAACAGGAUUAGAUACCCUGGUAGUCCGCACAGUAAACGAUGGAUGCCCGCUGUUGGUACCUGGUAUCAGCGGCUAAGCGAAAGCAUUAAGCAUCCCACCUGGGGAGUACGCCGGCAACGGUG